Long non-coding RNA from Polyodon spathula (Mississippi paddlefish), 3228 nucleotides. RefSeq lists it as uncharacterized. NCBI's taxonomy places the organism in Eukaryota, Metazoa, Chordata, Actinopteri, Acipenseriformes, Polyodontidae. The record is from RefSeq and is a predicted model, not a curated record. The transcript is spliced from 5 exons.
UCUGCUUAUUUUUACACUUCUCAGCCAUUGAUAUGUUUAUUAAUAAUAUAUAUAUACUUUAAAAGACUCCUAAAGGAAAUAUGAUGGCUUUUAGUAUUAAAAGUGGAAGAAAAUUACAGAUUGAACAGUGCUGCAGCUGGAUGCUUUGUUCGGAAUUAAUCCUGUGGAGCCCGGCAUUCAGUAUUUCACAGUGAGAGGGGAGAAAGAGAAGAAAAACAGUUUGUCAAUACUGCAACGAGUGUGCUGGAAAAUGACAGGAUUGACUGGCCAUGAAGCAAAGACCGAACACAAGAUUAAUAUAGAUAGGAGAACAUCAGCCAGGUUGGCAAAAGUGGGAGCAAAUAGGGUAUCAUUUGGAUCUGUUUUGGACACUAUCAAAUAAGAAUGUUCUGUUCGAUGCCAUUUAUCCUUGAUGAUAGAAAAUUGCUCUGUUGCCAGGACACUGCUGCUGAAAUAGAGGGCAAGAGCAACAUUUCCAUUUUCCACUUUGAAAGAAUUAGGAAAAUGAAAAAUCCAUCACUAAACAAAGGGGAAGAAACAGAUUUUCUUAUAAUGCACCGUUUUCAUUUUUAUUCUUCGUUUUUUGGUUUUCUUUCCUAAUGCCAUGGCUUGUAAUCAAUGCUUUCUGUGGGAGACAUCAAAGACCUCUGGCUCUUCUGAAAUUACGUCAAUAGGCUACCCCUAAAAUAUAAACCAGAAAAUGACAUACGACACUAAGACUAUUUUAGUAUGGUCUAUUGUAUUUUGCAAGAUUAAUGAAACAUACAUAUAUUCUGUGUACAGAUCCCAAACAUUUAGUGAAAAACACAAAUAAUCAAUAGGCCACAUUCUUUCUGUAAGACUUAGUUUACCAGUAGGUAACAUUAACAGUAUGCCACCAGCUGUUUUCCUGAAAAAUGGUUAGUUCUAAUACAGUCACAAGGACCUCCUUUAUUUAUAUAUUGCACCUGUGGGUUCGCUCUAUUUCAAAAUCCUACAAUUUGAGAAAACUGCCAAACCAUAUAGGCUUGGAAAUCAGUUGUCAAUGGAUGACCUUACUUAAUGAAAUUGCCUAUGGUUGUUUCAAAUACAUUUGCCCCCUUUGAACUACAGAUUAAUUGUGGUUAAAGGUCUAAUAUUACCAUGACCAUUUAAAAGCUUAUACCAUAUUGUUCUUGUUGUUUGGGAUGGUAUUCUUGUUUUGUGUAGGCUACAUAUUGUUUUAUAUAUUGUACACCAGAAAUUGGGAUACUGGAAAGAAAUGUAGUGUUACACCCCAGUUUACUCCUGUAGCUAAAAGCUUUUUACAAUUAUGUAAAUACAGAAAUAUCUGACAUACACACUAUACACACUAUUAUAAAGUUCAGAAGCUAACAAAAUUGAAAUUAUUGUUAUUAUUAUGAAUACGAAUUACAGUUUUUUCUCUUACCAGUAAAAUAGUAGCUGUUUUCUUCAUAACAAAAAUCUGAUCUUGUUGUCUUUCACAGUCUCUGGUGUCUUCAAAGUUGCUGAAUACAUUAAGACAAUGGCUAUAUUUAUAUUUUUGUAAACCAUUUGUAAACUAUGUAGUUGCUUUCUGUUUGAGCAACUUGUAAAUAGCAUUAUAAUACUUGUACCUAUCCUUUAAUGUGUCUGUAAUGUUUAGGAUUUGUUAAAUAAUACUAUGUAAUUGGGUUAAGAGUAAUAUAGGCUACAUGUGCAAUAUGCCAUACAGUACAAGUUGUGUUGUGCCUAUAGGCCUAUUCUGUUCAUUUUUGCAAAACAAUGAAGAAUGCAUUUAGGCACUACUUUGUAUGAUGCAUGAUAAGCAUGUAGCGCCUGUAGAGAUAUUAGGUGGUUGACAUUUAAAAUAUGAUUGAGAAAACAAUUAUAUUAAAUAAUAUAAGUAGCCUUUAAAUAAAAUGCAUUAUGUCAGUGUUCCCAUAAUUGUGCAACUAUGGCGGUGCAGUAAUAUGAACGGAAAUUUAACAACAUUAAAGGGUUAACACAUCAUAAAUAUUGCCAUAACAACAGGUCUAAUGUAUAACCUUUCUGUUCCAAUCAUAUUUCUAUUGUGUAUAGGAAAGGGAUGUAAUUACCCACAGCCCCAUGAGCUUUGAUGUGUUCAACUUAACAAAUGCAGAAUAUUGUUACUCUGUCUUUGAUCUCCAAAAGUGAUCACAGUAGAAAUCGGAUCACCAUGAAGAUAGAGAUUGCUGUGGAAAUAAUCCUUUGCAUGGAUCUUUCCUUUGGUAGCAGCGGUUCCAUGACCAGGUGAUUAACUGGAGCCUAAUCCUUGGGGUAGAUUGCAUGCAGAGUAGAGUCAUUCUUUUACUAUUAAAAAUAUCAAUUUUGACCAAAUCCUCCCUACAUACUACUGUUUAUCAUCCUUGUUAAAAUGAAUGCAAUAAGAUGUUUCAGGAAUACACAAAACAGCAAAACUAAAACAAACUGGGGAUUCCUGAAUUCCUUAAACAUAUCUGAGGUUGCAGAAAAUUGUAAUAAAGAAGAGUGGCUUUCACAAAGAAACACACACCAAUGCAAAAUGAUUUAAAUUAAAUAUCAUUAUCGACUGACUCAAUAGUUUCUACUAUUACCACAUUACCUACUAGUUAAUUAAUAAAAAAAUCUUCUUCCAAGAGACAUGUAACUUAUCCAUUUUUUUUAAUGUAGUAAUUUCUGUGUUCCACAAAUUGCAGUAUGUAUUUGUAGAGUAAAGGCUAUUUCAUUUCAGAUAUUGAAAUUAAAUAUUUAACUGGGUUUAGAAGGUGUAAACUAGAAACCAAACUACAAAAAUCCCAACGUAUUAAACAUAUAUAAAGUGUCUUAGAGUGUGUCACUGUUGAAGCAGUAAUAGACACAAAGGUCAUGUAAUACACUUCAAUUCAAUCUAUUGAUUCAGUGCCUUAAUAAUUUUUUCUCCUACAGACGCAAUGAAAGAUGGUCAGAAAAGCCACAGUCAAAACCCGCAGAGCAAUCCUGGUGCUAUUAGACUUGUACUAAUAAUAGGUGUUUCAUCGCUGGAAGAUCAAUCAUGUUGAAUUUUGCAAAGGAUGGCUUUAGAUCCACAUGUGUCCUAAUGGAUCAAAUUAUUCUGUUUUUAGCUGCUACUUUGAAAUUGGUUGCCCUUUUUCAUAUAUGUGUCAAUGGGCAUUAAACUGUUUUUUGUUUCAAUCUCUUUUCAGCUGAAUAUGUAAAGAUUUGAAAAUGAAUGUAUUCUACUGUAUUAUGUAUGCAUUUUAUUGCCAUCCAAUAAAUAUUAUUUCCUUU